AGUUCAGCCCAGCUCGGCUCGGCUCAGCCCGGCCCAGCCCAGGGCUCCCCGAGGUGCCCAGGUCUCAGCUGUGCCCGCUGCCCCAGCUCACACCCUCUCCAUCUUUAAAGCAAUAAACCUCCAAAUUUCCAGUGACACAAACUUCUGUCCCGAACAGGGUUUGGGCACAAGCGGCUCCUGCCUCGGGAGCUCCACCAGCGCAGCUCUGUGCAGGGGAAAAACCGAUUCUGUUGUGAAUGCAGAGUCAGAACAGCAGAACCAGCCCCAGGUGUGUUACAGCUGCUAACUCUGCAGAGGAAUAUUUAACUGGUGCCUUUCUCCUAUCAGGCAUUAAACUGGGAGAAGCACUGGAAGCUCUGGAGAGGGGAUCCAUUAGUGAGCAGAAAAGAUGAAUCACAGCCAACAGCAGGUACAGCUGGCUCUCACUGAGGCCCCAAAGCCACGGGAAAAGCAAUUUCUCUGCAGGCAGAUGGGGCUGUGCCUCCAUCUCCAGCCAUCCUGGGCUGGUCCUCAGGGCUGCCUUCCUCCUUGCCAGCCUCAGGCUCAGGCCUUUGGAAAGAAGCUGAUCCCCCCCUCACAAGGCACACGUGCAGACAAAUGGUCCAGGAUCUUCACAGAAGGCAUUCAACAUCAGCAUCGGGGGGUUUUUUGGUUUUGGUUUUGGUUUUGGUUUUGGUUUUUUUUUUUGUGGUUGUUGGGGGAUCACUGCCCCAAACUGGCCAAUAUUUUAAAUUUAGUGUCUUACAAUACAAGGAGUAUAUAACUCCAAUUAGAAGAGUAAAGAAGAAAAGUUGUAAUGGGGUCCUGUCCAGUUAACCAGUCCUGUCACUGGUUAACACUCUCAACGUCACUCUCUAAAAGAGUUACUGGUGUAAUUUGUGCCUCUCUCCUGGAUUCAGGGACACUGAACGGGGCUGGUUCCUCCCUCCUGGCCCAGGGCUCGCUCCUUUCUCCUGGCCAGGGAUGCUGAGCAGGGCUGGUGCCUCUCUCCUGCCCAGGGACACAUUGAACAGGGCUGGUUCCCCUCUCCUGGCCAGGGAUGCUGAUCUCCCUGCUGGGCUCAGGGACACUCAGCAGGGCUGGUUCCUCUCUCCUGAAUUCAGGGACACUGAGCAGGGCUGGUUCCCCCCUGCUGCCCCCUGAGAUGCCCCUGCCCCUCACUCCGAGCUGGCUGCAGGCGCUGGCAGAGCAGCUGCUCUCUCACUUUACAUAACAUUUAAUCUUGUGUAACCAAGACCGCUCCCACAGGGUAAACACCGAGUGAGAUCUCUUUUUUCCAGGCACACCACCCUCAUUUUCAGCUUCUCUCUCUCUGUGAGUCAGGCUGGCUCUGCUUGGCCAGCAGCAUGGGCUCAGUCCCAUUGAGUGUGGAGCUCCCAUUGGAGGGAAGGUGAACCCUGCAGUACCAACCAAGAAAUUCUUUUUGGGAUGGGGAGUUUGGAGUUUGUUCUUUGCUCUGGUCAGAUCUCAGAAUUAUCCAAUUGCUGACCAUUUACAGCAAUUCAGUUCAGCUUUCCUUUUUCUGCUGUGCAUUACUGCACUGUGCUGAGGCACUGGGGGUGCUGGGUGUGAGGGCAGAGCUUGAUGUUAAUGAAACAGCUCUCCUUUAAGCACAGAAACGGUUUUUAAUGCAAUUAAAAUAGUGCCACAUUCACUUCUCGAGUAUAAAUGGUAGGGAAGCCAUCAAGGGCACUUAUUUAUGUCUGUGUGGGAUGAAAAGAAUGCUCAUGGAAACCCAAGAAAAGCAUCCUGGCCCACAGGGCUGAGUCACUCUGUCAGCACAUGCUUGCCUUAGCAAUGAACCUGCUCUGAGGAGGCAAAACACAGAAAGCAGAUAUGGAACCUAAGCCCAGCUCUAGUGCGGGUUUGGGCACCCAGCUGGAUUGCAGGGAGACUGAGAUUUUUGCCUUUAUUUUCUUAAAUCUCGCCUGAAGUUUAUUGUGAUUUCUGUUAUUUUAGGGAUUAAAAACAUAAUAUAUUAGCUGUGAUUAAAAAUACAUGUCAACACUUGCUGCA
This is a non-coding RNA of Zonotrichia albicollis (white-throated sparrow), 2016 nucleotides long. The record is from RefSeq and is a predicted model, not a curated record. NCBI's taxonomy places the organism in Eukaryota, Metazoa, Chordata, Aves, Passeriformes, Passerellidae.